Molecule: ribosomal RNA, 332 nt
Filed under: uncultured bacterium
Lineage: Bacteria
Description: bacterial SSU rRNA
Rfam family: Bacterial small subunit ribosomal RNA
Source: RNAcentral
UAGGUAGGUGGUCUUAUUUGUCUGGGGUGAAAUCCCUGAGCUUAACUCAGGAACUGCCCUAGAAACGGUGAGACUGGAGUACUGGAGAGGGUCGUGGAAUUCCCGGUGUAGCGGUGAAAUGCGUAGAGAUCGGGAGGAACACCAGAGGCGAAGGCGGCGACCUGGACAGUGACUGACACUCAACUACGAAAGCGUGGGGAGCAAACAGGAUUAGAUACCCUGGUAGUCCACGCUGUAAACGAUGGAUACUAGGUUUGGUGGGACUUGACCCCUGCCGAACCGGCGCUAACGCAAUAAGUAUCCCGCCUGGGAAGUACGGUCGCAAGACUAAA